AUAUAUGACGGCGCCACCGUCGAUGUGUCAACCGUCGAUCUGUCAACGGUGGACCUUAUAUAAAGCGGCGCGCGCGCACGACUCGGGUCAUUCGUUCGCCGACCGUUGCCGAGUGCACACCUCCCACAAAUUCGUGAUAAAUAAUUGUAGUGACUAAUACUGUGUUAAUUGGAAUAAACCAAGUGAUUGUGUGAGAACCCCUUUGUUUUAUUUAACGAUGUCGGAUCCUGACGCCGACAUCAGAAGUGGGAUACAAUCCGAAUGCCCACAUCUUUUAAGGAUUGCCCUGCAUCGCCCACGUGUUCAAAAUGUGAAGAUUCUGGUGGCAAAAGUUGAUACGCCUGAUACAACACUGCUAUCGCAUUGAAUCAAGCCAGGCAAGCACAAGCAAGAAUCCUGGGUGGUGAAUCUCGUACUGCAACAUGAUGUUGGUUGGUUGGUGAAUGACCAGACUGAUUUCGGGAGAACUCGCCACGUGAAGAUAAAUUGCCUACCCACUAAAAAGAAAAAAAAUGGAAGUCGAUAAUUUAAAAUGGAGUUUGUAGUAGAAGAUUUAAUAAGAAUUUCAGCGAAGGUACAAGUAUGGUAACCACGGUUAUGCCCAACGUGUCUUUGUGAGGUCGGAGUGUUGGGGCUUGUGCAUCUCCGUGGCUUCACGUCCGCGAAAGCUUUGCUGUACUGCGCGCCAUAGCGAUGUGCGAUCGUCACGCACUUUGAGUGGAAAACCCGGUGAGACCAAUCCAUUGUUCAAUCCAUAGUUUUAUGUUGAGGUUAUUUUUUACACGAGGUUAUUAAACGUGGAACUGCCUCGUUGACUAGUGGUAUUGGUAGAUAUGAACUGUGUCGUUGGUUUAGUUGUCACGUAGUGCGACUGUUGUGCUCGGGAUCUCGGGUCGGGACGAUUUCGCUUUGUUGGUUUUGGAAAUUUUCAAAAGGCAGCCCGGAGCCUGGAAGACGCUGAUUGACGCACCCUUCCUCCUUGUGGUUUCUCUCUGGUUGUGUUGGGCUGUCGCUAUGAGAUUGAAGGAAUAGGGUACGUCUGUGUCUGCGCAGAUGCCUGCGCACUAUAAUAUGUGCGCGGCUGGCUGAUCUCGUAAUAAGGGCUAAUUAUACGAUCGCCGUGGUCAACAAUCAGCUGGCACACAAUUAUUGUCAGUGGUAGUUAACUAGUGGAAUCACCGACGCUGAGAAGUAGUUCCACGGGUUCUGAUUAAUGUCUUUCAGUUACAUAGAAUAAUUCAAUAUACGUCAGACUAUAGUUUUGUUGGCAAUUCUUACGCCUACUUAGUGAUUUUAUUGUGUUAUGCUGUACCUAUGAUGGGUAUCGGGGUGACUUGGAAAAGUCCCGUUGGCCUGUGCGAUAGCAGCGUGGUGAUCAGGAAGAGACUCGUGUAAAUCUGUGUGAGUACAGUUAGUGUCGCGCUACUGUGGUUCCUAGAAAACCAGGAUGGGCUGAUAAGUCGGCUAAGGGACACAAAGGUCAUGUAAAGCCUGUCGAAUGGAAGGCGUUCGUGUGAGUGACAAUUAUAGUUGUAAUUUACAAUUUGAAAGUCGGACUAACUGUUGGAUCUUUCUUUUAUUUCAUGCUUGGCAGCUGAUGUGACCGGUUUCUUCGUUUGAAAGGUGAUUGCUGUUCUUGAAAUCCGUAACUGGUGGUAGUGCAGCUCGUGAUGCGUAGGAGAAAUGUGUCAGGGGUGUAGUGCCGUUGAGUCGUUCUGGCUAGUGUUGGUGCGCACUUAUGGCUGUGAUUUCUGGAGUGUAGGUCUGGUGGGUGGUGCCUGUCUUAUUCUGAGCGUGCCGGUGUGAAGGACUUGCCUCUUGUUUAGGUUAGAUUUGCCAGAGGAGAACUGUUGCUGUUCCCAGAAUAUUGCCUCAUCGGCGCGGAUGGCUAUUGUUGCGCCACACAUUUGGGACUUGACGGCUGGGGGGGCCACUGCUGACCCAAAUGUUUUCAAAGUUUAGUCAGUUGCCUAAGCACUUUCCUUUUCUGACUUCACGGAUGCCGUCUGAGAUGAAGUUUGCCGGGGGAGCAGAAAUUGUCGGGUUUGUGGCUGAGUUGACGGGGUGUCUGGCUCUGCGCCACGAUCGGUCGAUCUGUUUGGUUAAUCAGGUAGUAUGUAAACGCGAACAGAGAGAGUUCAUUGUAAGGGAGGCUGACAUAGUUGGUUUGACUUUAAUGUCUACUAGAUAUAGUUAGUUGCUUAUUGAAUGUGUGGAUAACGAUACCGAGAGAGUUUUGCAAUGGACGUUAGCUGCCGUUCUAGCUGUUGAUAAGUCGAGAAAUUAUCCCUAUAGUCAACGUGACUCAGUGUUUGCCGGUUGUGCGCGGCGACGUUGACUGUCCCGGACUGGGCGGAGAUAUCCCAAAUCGUUGUAGUGCUAGGUCUGGCUUCGGUCUGAAAGUUCGACUCACACAAUAGCAGACUAGUAGAAUUGGCUGUGUGGUUGUAGUAGGAGGUUUGGUUGUUGAGUCUUUUGUAUUGUAAUUACCUAGAAACGACUAUAUUAAUAGCUGACCUCUCUUUACGAAUUCAUAGAUCUUGACCAUAGAGUUGGGCCUUUUGGUAGUCUGACUUCAGGGAUCGAAUACAACCUUUCAACUAGGAAUCCCUUAUUUGAAUCCGUACUUAAGCCUUGAACAGUAGCUGUUGUCUUCCGGCUAGUCUUUCCAAUCAGAUAAUCGUAUACCAGUCGGAGUAUUCGAGAAAUCCUGUAAAAAUUCUACUACUCUUAUAACAAUUAGAAUUUUUGGCAAACAGUCAGAUAGGGCGAGCAAUGCGAAAUUUUUAGUGCCUAUUUGCGAUUGUAGAGAAUGAAUCGAACGUUGCGCGACGGGCUCGUAGAAGUUCAUUAUAAUCAUAUACCCGUCAGUCAUCAUCAUACUCUUCAGAUCGUUGUUGUUGAUGUUGAUUAAGUAGCAAAUAGUAUCUACCAGGUUCAGUGCAAUAUACCGUAUACCAAUCGAGCUUAUAUUUUAUUUCUACGAGAACGAUGUCUUCAGAUUUAGCGAGCUUCUUAGUCGACUCUGCUUAGUCGUAGAUAGAAAUUCGAGAUACAGCAAACGGAAUGAUUUAGGAGGAAAAUAGCUUCGACAAAACAGAGCGUUUUAAUCUUUUAGUGACAACAGUGAGAUUCCUCUUGAAGAUGGUUUUGUUCGUCUAAUUUGAGCGGAAGAAACCGAAACUCAAUUGCAUAGGAAUUUCUAGGGCUUUUGCUUUCAUUGUAAUAGACGUAGAAUAUGAUAGGUAUCUUCUAUGGGGUUUCUUGCCGAAUAUUCUCCAUGGGAACAGCUGUAUGGUCCCGUGCAACUAGUGUCGUGAAACUUUAUAGGAAAUCGCUAAGGUUCAUUUGAGACCAUCUUAUAUUGAAUUCGUGUACUAGUAAGACCACUCGAAAAGUGCUGUGGUAACAUACCUGGAGCCCGUGUAGGCUUACUUGAAGUAGCUUGUAUUCCAACUAAGGACUGAGGAGGCCGAGACGGCGGCUCACGAUCAUGGAAGGUAUAAGGUGUCAUCUGAUAAUGACGGUGACAGUGACGAAUUUCAAUUAAUGUUCUUUGACCUGUACUUAUAUGACACGACUUCAGAAAUGAUCAUGAUGUUCGACUGACAUGACUUCAGAAAGUGAUGAUUGGUGGCUAACUUAACGUAACUAACUUAACUGAACUGGCUGGCAGGGCCGUGCAAGUGUGACAAAUCUUGGGGACUGCCCUGACACGUGACUGGUGUGACUGAUUUUAGGAAAUGGCUCUCUGGGUCAAUGUUCUGCGACUUAUGACAAACCGAAUCAUGUUAAGAACUGGCCUUAAUGGGUCGUAGGUUCUGGUGACUAACCAAGUAUUUUGUGUAGACUAUGUGAGAUUUUAUAAAAAAAAAAAGAAAAAAAAAGUCACAAAAAAAGUAAGCUAAAAAAAAAGAGAAAAAGGUAAUUAAAAAAAAAAAUGGUUUAACAGUCUCCGGUUGUAAUACCGAUGAGAAUGGUUUAACGGUCUCCGGUUGUAAUACCGAUGAGAAUGGUUUAACGGUCUCCGGUUGUAA
This is a long non-coding RNA of Helicoverpa armigera (cotton bollworm), 4037 nucleotides long. RefSeq lists it as uncharacterized. The transcript is spliced from 2 exons. NCBI's taxonomy places the organism in Eukaryota, Metazoa, Arthropoda, Insecta, Lepidoptera, Noctuidae. The record is from RefSeq and is a predicted model, not a curated record.